RNAcentral lists this ribosomal RNA (450 nucleotides) under uncultured bacterium. RNAcentral describes it as "partial 16S ribosomal RNA". It matches the Rfam family "Bacterial small subunit ribosomal RNA", at positions 29 to 523 of the family's 1533-position model. The record is from RNAcentral.
AACGAACGCUGGCGGCAGGCUUAACACAUGCAAGUCGAGCGCAUCCUUCGGGGUGAGCGGCAGACGGGUGAGUAACGCGUGGGAACGUACCCUUUCCUACGGAAUAGCUCCGGGAAACUGGAAUUAAUACCGUAUACGCCCUUAGGGGGAAAGAUUUAUCGGGGAAGGAUCGGCCCGCGUUGGAUUAGCUAGUUGGUGGGGUAAAGGCCUACCAAGGCGACGAUCCAUAGCUGGUCUGAGAGGAUGAUCAGCCACAUUGGGACUGAGAACACGGCCCAAACUCCUACGGGAGGCAGCAGUGGGGAAUAUUGGACAAUGGGCGCAAGCCUGAUCCAGCCAUGCCGCGUGAGUGAUGAAGGCCUUAGGGUUGUAAAGCUCUUUCAGUAGGGAAGAUAAUGACGGUACCUACAGAAGAAGCCCCGGCUAACUUCGUGCCAGCAGCCGCGGUAA